AUGGGGCGAACCACACCUAACCCUAUUUGGUGUCAGAUAUGGAAGUUAUCCUGUCCGGCAAAAGUCAAAUUUUUUAUAUGGCGUACGUUACAUGGCACCCUCCCAUGCCGGGCAACACUUGCUAAUAGAGACAUGAAGGUCUCGCCCCUUUGUCCUACUUGCUCUCACGGUGUAGAAGACACGAAGCACAUGCUUUUCCUAUGUACUAAAGCAAAGGAGGUUUGGAAGAGGCUAGGAAUAGAUGAGAUUAUUGAUAGAGCUUGUGAGAUUGAUCGUGCUAGAGAGGCGAUACUGGAAUACCUUUUAGUUCUCCCAGAUAAAGAUUUGCGUAUUAUGGGGUACCAAAAUGUACGAGAAAUGAUAGCUAUUUCAGCUUGGUAUCUAUGGUGGGAGAGACGGAAAUUAGUGCACAAGGAAACAACUCAGAAUGCAACUCAAAUAUCAAUGGGGAUCAUAGCCCUCACAUACAAUUUUGUAAAUGCAUCAUCUUCAAAGGCGUCCAUGAAAAAGGGGGGUUGGCAUUGUCCCCCUAGGGGUUUCGUGAAACUCAAUGUUGACGCCUCUUUUGACCAGGACAUGCUGAAGGGUACGAUGGGGGCGGUUUUGCGAGACGACAAAGGUAGGUUUAUUGCAGGAGGAAACGGAAAGAUUGACCAUUGCGCGGAUGUUCUGAUGGCAGAAGCUUUAGCCCUCAAAUUUGGACUAACACUAGCGCAAAGGGCAGGGUGCAAUCGCCUAAUCAUCAACUCAGAUAAUCUAGAGGUGAUUGAGACCAUGCAGGAUGGAGGACAGUCAACGGGUGUGGCGGCGGCAAUUUUCGAUGACUGCUUCCACUACGCAUGUGAUUUCAUCAUGACUAGAUUCGAACAUUGUAAUAGAGAGGCAAAUAGAGUAGCACAUGAACUUGCUAGAUUAGCUAGAUUUUCUUCAACUUUGGAUUGGUUCGAGGAGCCUAUCAAUGAAAUUGUACUCAUCCUCACAAACGAUGUAUUGGUUAUUUCUAAUGAAUAA
RNAcentral lists this ribosomal RNA (1011 nucleotides) under Triticum aestivum (bread wheat). Its description in RNAcentral is "partial small subunit ribosomal RNA". The record is from RNAcentral. Lineage: Eukaryota; Viridiplantae; Streptophyta; Magnoliopsida; Poales; Poaceae.